GACGAACGCUGGCGGCGUGCCUAAUACAUGCAAGUCGAACGAACUCUGGUAUUGAUUGGUGCUUGCAUCAUGAUUUACAUUUGAGUGAGUGGCGAACUGGUGAGUAACACGUGGGAAACCUGCCCAGAAGCGGGGGAUAACACCUGGAAACAGAUGCUAAUACCGCAUAACAACUUGGACCGCAUGGUCCGAGCUUGAAAGAUGGCUUCGGCUAUCACUUUUGGAUGGUCCCGCGGCGUAUUAGCUAGAUGGUGGGGUAACGGCUCACCAUGGCAAUGAUACGUAGCCGACCUGAGAGGGUAAUCGGCCACAUUGGGACUGAGACACGGCCCAAACUCCUACGGGAGGCAGCAGUAGGGAAUCUUCCACAAUGGACGAAAGUCUGAUGGAGCAACGCCGCGUGAGUGAAGAAGGGUUUCGGCUCGUAAAACUCUGUUGUUAAAGAAGAACAUAUCUGAGAGUAACUGUUCAGGUAUUGACGGUAUUUAACCAGAAAGCCACGGCUAACUACGUGCCAGCAGCCGCGGUAAUACGUAGGUGGCAAGCGUUGUCCGGAUUUAUUGGGCGUAAAGCGAGCGCAGGCGGUUUUUUAAGUCUGAUGUGAAAGCCUUCGGCUCAACCGAAGAAGUGCAUCGGAAACUGGGAAACUUGAGUGCAGAAGAGGACAGUGGAACUCCAUGUGUAGCGGUGAAAUGCGUAGAUAUAUGGAAGAACACCAGUGGCGAAGGCGGCUGUCUGGUCUGUAACUGACGCUGAGGCUCGAAAGUAUGGGUAGCAAACAGGAUUAGGUACCCUGGUAGUCCAUACCGUAAACGAUGAAUGCUAAGUGUUGGAGGGUUUCCGCCCUUCAGUGCUGCAGCUAACGCAUUAAGCAUUCCGCCUGGGGAGUACGGCCGCAAGGCUGAAACUCAAAGGAAUUGACGGGGGCCCGCACAAGCGGUGGAGCAUGUGGUUUAAUUCGAAGCUACGCGAAGAACCUUACCAGGUCUUGACAUACUAUGCAAAUCUAAGAGAUUAGACGUUCCCUUCGGGGACAUGGAUACAGGUGGUGCAUGGUUGUCGUCAGCUCGUGUCGUGAGAUGUUGGGUUAAGUCCCGCAACGAGCGCAACCCUUAUUAUCAGUUGCCAGCAUUAAGUUGGGCACUCUGGUGAGACUGCCGGUGACAAACCGGAGGAAGGUGGGGAUGACGUCAAAUCAUCAUGCCCCUUAUGACCUGGGCUACACACGUGCUACAAUGGAUGGUACAACGAGUUGCGAACUCGCGAGAGUAAGCUAAUCUCUUAAAGCCAUUCUCAGUUCGGAUUGUAGGCUGCAACUCGCCUACAUGAAGUCGGAAUCGCUAGUAAUCGCGGAUCAGCAUGCCGCGGUGAAUACGUUCCCGGGCCUUGUACACACCGCCCGUCACACCAUGAGAGUUUGUAACACCCAAAGUCGGUGGGGUAACCUUUUAGGAACCAGCCGCCUAAGGUGGGACAGAUGAUUAGGGUG
Molecule: ribosomal RNA, 1489 nt
Filed under: Lactiplantibacillus argentoratensis
Lineage: Bacteria; Bacillati; Bacillota; Bacilli; Lactobacillales; Lactobacillaceae
Description: bacterial SSU rRNA
Rfam family: Bacterial small subunit ribosomal RNA
Source: RNAcentral